RNAcentral lists this ribosomal RNA (204 nucleotides) under uncultured bacterium. Its description in RNAcentral is "partial 16S ribosomal RNA". It matches the Rfam family "Bacterial small subunit ribosomal RNA", at positions 1289 to 1500 of the family's 1533-position model. The record is from RNAcentral.
CAGUUCGGAUCGGAGUCUGCAACCCGACUCCGUGAAGCUGGAUUCGCUAGUAAUCGCGCAUCAGCCAUGGCGCGGUGAAUACGUUCCCGGGCCUUGUACACACCGCCCGUCAAGCCAUGGGAGCCGGGGGUGCUUGAAGUGCGUCGCCGUGAGGCGCGCCCUAGAGCAAAACCGGUGACUGGGGCUAAGUCGUAACAAGGUAAC